UAGAGGCAAAAAGAGUGAGAAUGAGAGUGAAGAUGGGAUUGAGAGGAAUGAGUAAAAAAAGUGAAAAUAAAAACUAAAACUAAAAUCUAUUUGAAAUAGUUUUUACUUUUGUUACUCUUCCCUUCGAUCCUCUCAUCCUCUUAUCAUCUCUCUCAAU
RNAcentral lists this microRNA precursor (157 nucleotides) under Prunus dulcis (almond). RNAcentral's name for it is "sRNA ncRNA". The record is from RNAcentral. Lineage: Eukaryota; Viridiplantae; Streptophyta; Magnoliopsida; Rosales; Rosaceae.